RNAcentral lists this ribosomal RNA (320 nucleotides) under uncultured eukaryote. Its description in RNAcentral is "partial 18S ribosomal RNA". It matches the Rfam family "Eukaryotic small subunit ribosomal RNA", at positions 1470 to 1796 of the family's 1831-position model. The record is from RNAcentral.
CCCCUAGAUGUUCUGGGCCGCACGCGCGCUACACUGAACAGUUCAACAAGUCUUAACCUUGGCCGAUCGGUCUGGGUAAUCUUUGAACGCUGUUCGUGAUUGGGAUAGACCUUUGCAAUUAUGGGUCUUCAACGAGGAAUUCCUAGUAAACGCAAGUCAUCAGCUUGCAUUGAUUACGUCCCUGCCCUUUGUACACACCGCCCGUCGCACCUACCGAUUGAAUGGUCCGGUGAAAUCUCGGGACGGCGGCUUGGUCGCUUGCGUCCGACUGCUGAAACUUGAUUAAACCACAUCAUUUAGAGGAAGGUGAAGUCGUAACA